GGGGCCCUAGCUCAGUAGGAAGAGCGCGUUGUUCGCAAUGACGAGGUCGGCGGUUCGAACCCGCUCGGCUCCGCCA
This 76-nucleotide transfer RNA is filed under the name Opitutia bacterium. Its description in RNAcentral is "tRNA-Ala". It matches the Rfam family "tRNA". Rfam says of the family: Transfer RNA (tRNA) molecules are approximately 80 nucleotides in length. Their secondary structure includes four short double-helical elements and three loops (D, anti-codon, and T loops). Lineage: Bacteria; Pseudomonadati; Verrucomicrobiota; Opitutia. The record is from RNAcentral.